RNAcentral lists this ribosomal RNA (253 nucleotides) under uncultured bacterium. Its description in RNAcentral is "partial 16S ribosomal RNA". It matches the Rfam family "Bacterial small subunit ribosomal RNA", at positions 524 to 776 of the family's 1533-position model. The record is from RNAcentral.
GACAGAGGGUGCGAGCGUUAAUCGGAAUUACUGGGCGUAAAGCGUGCGCAGGCGGUUCGUUGUGUCUGAUGUGAAAGCCCCGGGCUCAACCUGGGAAUGGCAUUGGAAACUGGCGGGCUUGAGUGUGGCAGAGGGGGGUGGAAUUCCGCGUGUAGCAGUGAAAUGCGUAGAGAUGCGGAGGAACACCGAUGGCGAAGGCAGCCCCCUGGGCUGACACUGACGCUCAGGCACGAAAGCGUGGGGAGCAAACAGG